AGAGUUUGAUCCUGGCUCAGGAUGAACGCUAGCGGCAGGCUUAAUACAUGCAAGUCGAGGGGCAGCAUGACUGUAGCAAUACAGUUGAUGGCGACCGGCAAACGGGUGCGGAACACGUACAGAACCUUCCUUCGAGCGGGGAAUAGCCCAGAGAAAUUUGGAUUAAUACCCCAUAGUAUUACGGAGUGGCAUCACUUUGUAAUUAAAGAUUUAUCACUUGAAGAUGGCUGUGCGGCUGAUUAGGUAGUUGGCGGGGUAACGGCCCACCAAGCCUGCGAUCAGUAACUGGUGUGAGAGCACGACCAGUCACACGGGCACUGAGACACGGGCCCGACUCCUACGGGAGGCAGCAGUAAGGAAUAUUGGUCAAUGGACGAAAGUCUGAACCAGCCAUGCCGCGUGGAGGAUGAAGGUCCUCUGGAUUGUAAACUUCUUUUAUAUGGGACGAAAAAAGGCUUUUCUAAGUCGUCUGACGGUACCAUAUGAAUAAGCACCGGCUAACUCCGUGCCAGCAGCCGCGGUAAUACGGAGGGUGCAAGCGUUAUCCGGAUUCACUGGGUUUAAAGGGUGCGUAGGUGGGUUGGUAAGUCAGUGGUGAAAUCUCCGAGCUUAACUUGGAAACUGCCAUUGAUACUAUCAGUCUUGAAUAUUGUGGAGGUUAGCGGAAUAUGUCAUGUAGCGGUGAAAUGCUUAGAUAUGACAUAGAACACCAAUUGCGAAGGCAGCUGGCUACACAUAUAUUGACACUGAGGCACGAAAGCGUGGGGAUCAAACAGGAUUAGAUACCCUGGUAGUCCACG
This 800-nucleotide ribosomal RNA is filed under the name uncultured bacterium. Its description in RNAcentral is "bacterial SSU rRNA". It matches the Rfam family "Bacterial small subunit ribosomal RNA", at positions 8 to 799 of the family's 1533-position model. The record is from RNAcentral.